This 111-nucleotide small RNA is filed under the name Escherichia coli. RNAcentral describes it as "partial RtT sRNA". It matches the Rfam family "RtT RNA", at positions 16 to 130 of the family's 130-position model. Rfam says of the family: This family represents a bacterial cis-regulatory element known as RtT RNA. The exact function of RtT is unknown although it is thought that it may be involved in changing the cellular response in relation to amino acid starvation. The record is from RNAcentral. Lineage: Bacteria; Pseudomonadati; Pseudomonadota; Gammaproteobacteria; Enterobacterales; Enterobacteriaceae. RNAcentral also lists the same sequence under 1 other name.
UCAAAGAUUCGAACCUGCAGCAGGUUCGAGUUGAGCGCAGCGAAACAACGGAGCCGCUCGCGGCGACGGCCCGAAGGGCGAGCGAAGCGAGUCAUCCUGCACGACCCACCA